This 424-nucleotide ribosomal RNA is filed under the name uncultured bacterium. RNAcentral describes it as "partial 16S ribosomal RNA". It matches the Rfam family "Bacterial small subunit ribosomal RNA", at positions 360 to 776 of the family's 1533-position model. The record is from RNAcentral.
AAUAUUGGACAAUGGGCGAAAGCCUGAUCCAGUCAUGCCGCGGGUGUGAAGAAGGUCUUCGGAUUGUAAAGCACUUUAUGUUGGGAGGAAGGGGUUGAAGCUAAUACCUUCAAUUUUUGACGUUACCAACAGAAUAAGCCCCGGCUAACUCUGUGCCAGCAUCCGCGGUAAUACAGAGGGUGCAAGCGUUAAUCGGAAUUACUGGGCGUAAAGCGCGCGUCGGUUGUUCAGUAAGAUGCAAGUAAAAUCCCCGGGCUUAACCUGGGAACUGCUUUCAUAACUGCUGAGCUAGAGUACGGUAGAGGGUAGUGGAAUUUCCUGUAUAGCGGUGAAAUGCGUAGGUAUAGGAAGGAACACCAGUGGCGAAGGCGACUACCUGGACUGAUACUGACACUGAGGUGCGAAAGCGUGGGGAGCAAACAGG